RNAcentral lists this ribosomal RNA (413 nucleotides) under uncultured bacterium. RNAcentral's name for it is "partial 16S ribosomal RNA". It matches the Rfam family "Bacterial small subunit ribosomal RNA", at positions 360 to 774 of the family's 1533-position model. The record is from RNAcentral.
AAUCUUCCACAAUGGACGAAAGUCUGAUGGAGCAACGCCGCGUGAGCGAUGAAGGUCUUCGGAUCGUAAAGCUCUGUCCUUGGGGAAGAAGGGAGCCGUAAGGCUUCUUGACGGUACCCAUGGAGGAAGCCCCGGCUAACUACGUGCCAGCAGCCGCGGUAAUACGUAGGGGGCAAGCGUUGUCCGGAAUUAUUGGGCGUAAAGGGUGCGUAGGCGGCCCUUUAAGUCAGGUGUGAAAUACCAGUGCUUAACACUGGAAUUGCAUUUGAAACUGUGUAGCUUGAGUGCAGGAGAGGAAAGUGGAAUUCCUAGUGUAGCGGUGAAAUGCGUAGAGAUUAGGAGGAACACCAGUGGCGAAGGCGACUUUCUGGACUGUAACUGACGCUGAGGUACGAAAGCGUGGGUAGCGAACA